GCGCCCAUAGCUCAGCCCGGAUAGAGCGCUGCCCUGCGGAGGCAGAGGUCAGAGGUUCAAAUCCUCUUGGGCGCGCCA
Molecule: transfer RNA, 78 nt
Filed under: Acidobacteriota bacterium
Lineage: Bacteria; Pseudomonadati; Acidobacteriota
Description: Acidobacteria bacterium tRNA-Arg
Rfam family: tRNA
About the family: Transfer RNA (tRNA) molecules are approximately 80 nucleotides in length. Their secondary structure includes four short double-helical elements and three loops (D, anti-codon, and T loops).
Source: RNAcentral